UUAAAGCAUUUGCUCCAUUCUACCACAUGGGGAGGCCCCUUUUGAUACUUUUCUAAUAUUAAUAUAUAUAUCCCUUUAUUAUGAACCACUCAUUAGAUGCAUUCUCAAGCUCACUACUCAAUCGUUGAAUCCUCCAUUAGCCGUACAAACUGCCAUUAAACUCCAGAAUUCGACACCCUCUUGACUGACACAAGAAAAGAAGAGCAAGAAGGCGGCAAUUGCCACAAAGGACAAUGGACGAGAUUACUAUAAAGAAUGAACUAACCGUCGAAGAGGAGCAAAUGGAUGAGGUGAGUUCUUUGAGGAAGUUGGUAAAUAUUUGUACUAGAUAAACAUGUAAAUAUUUGUAUAACCUCAACUCUUACAGAAGUUUAAAACUUUAAUUAUAAGGUGAAACUAUAAUAUUUUCAUAUCAUAUUAUUGGGAAAUCUUUAGUAAUAUAUAAAUUACACACAGAUUAAUUAAUAAUAAAUAAGAUAACCCUACGAAUAGAGUAUAAAAGCAAAGAACAAUGAUCUAGAUGCAAAAUAUCAAAGUUUUAUUUUUUAUUGUCAAAGAUGAUUUUCAUGCCAAAGAUUUAUUUAUUUUUUUUAUUAAUCCCAAAUCCUUCGUAACAAAGAAUUUGCUCAAAUUUAUGUUAAAAUUAUCGUUUUAAAAUCAUGCUUGGUAAUUAGCAUAUCACCUGCAUAAAAGAGAAAAGACUUGUACAGUCAUUAUUAGAAAACUUUUAUUCCUAAAGACAUAUAUAGGUCUUAUGGGUGAGCAUUAAAUAGAAAUAUUUGCACUUCCAAAUCAAACCAAAAAUUUCAACUAAUUUGGUUAGCUUGUUUGGUUCAGUUUUUUGUUAUUAUCUUUUCAAAUUUUGGUUUUUUUUCGAAAAAUGGGUUAAACAUUACUUAACUAAUUAAAAUAUAUAAAACCCUAAAUUAUUAAUUAAAAAAUAAAUGUUAGGAUAGAAUGAUCCAUUUUAAAAUAAUAACAAGCGAGAUGAAUUUUAAUUAUUUUUUAUGAAAUAGUGUAUGGGGUACUGUGAAUCUCAAUGAAAAAAAAUUAAUUUUAAAAAUACUGUCAGUAUAUAUUACUCAUACUUUGAUGUGAUUUUAAAAGUUAAAUUUUUGAUCUUUUAUAACUUAAAUUUAAACGUGUAUUUUUAAAUUCAAAUAUAUAUACGAGGUUGUUAAAAUCGUAAAAUCGUAAGAGGGUUUUCGACAUGUAAGAUCGUAAAAUCAAGUGCGAUUCAAUUUCAAAAUCGUAAAAUCAUAAGGGUUUUUGAUACACAAAAAAUCAUAAAAUCGUACCCGUAAAAUCGGGAGUUUAACAACCAUGUAUGUAUAUUUAUUUAUUUUAAUUAUUUAUGAAUUUUUUUUUACAAUAAAGCAAUUUAUAUAUAUUCAUGCCUUGUUGCCAUAUUCAAAAAGAUUUUAAAAAAUUUAGAAUUCAUAAAAUAUAGAAUUUUAAUGUCCUAAAACUUAAUUUUGGUACCUUGUGCAUAUGGUGUUGUAAGUUUUUUUUACAGAGUCAGACAAGUUGAUAGACAAACUUAUAGAAUGGGAAUUAAAAGAUUAAAAUGCCCUCAUCUACAUUGUAAUGAAAAAAAAGUAUUACAAUAUAAGUGAGGAUAUUUUAAUUUUUUAAUAAAAUAUAAAAAUAUUUAAAUAUAUAUUAUAUUAAAAAAUAUAUAUGAAUAAAAAUAUUUUAAUUUUUAAACCCUCAUAUAAACUUAUCUAUGAAUUUAUCUCGCUCAUAUUCAAAAAAAAUACCGUACAAGCAGCAUUAUUUUUCGUGCGCCAAAUUAGUGAAAAGGACACAAAAGAACGAAAGAGCUCGUCUUUUGCUAAAGAGACUUAAAAUUAAUAUUAAAUUUAUGGCAUGGAAAACGUGCCAUGCAAGGACGAUAAAAGCAUAAACGGCGAACAAUGAUGGGGGCAUCCCCUGUAUGAUUUCACGUGCCCAGCGGCCCAGCCAGCCUCAGUGACCAAAUUCUACCGCACGGGGGAGGGCCCACUGCUCCUUUUAUUAUGAACCGCUCCUUUAGCUGAGCUCACUACUCCUUCACUGAAUCCUCCCACCGACGUACAACAGAAAAUGCGCCAUGCUAAUUGGUGGUGGGAUUCUGAUUGGUGGGGCCCAGUUGCUCCCUUGUCUUGUUCGCAGCUGAUUUGCCGUGUUUGAAAAUUCAAAAUUUGAAUUUUCACGGAUCCCGCCUUAGCAGUUAUUUGAAUUUUGACCGAGGGAUGCGGCAGCCUGUCAUGGCUGCCACUGUUUGGCUUUUUCAGAUGUGACGUGGGGGCUCAUUAAUUUAUGGCACUUCCAGGAGGUUCUUCAAGCCUAAUGGAGCAUUGAUAUAAUUUAGGUUUCUUAUAUUUAUAUAGGCUUUUAUGUAUUUUUAGUUCUAAACAUUUUGAUUUGCAGGCUA
Diospyros lotus (date-plum) is the source of this 2416-nucleotide long non-coding RNA. RefSeq lists it as uncharacterized. The record is from RefSeq and is a predicted model, not a curated record. The transcript has 2 exons. Lineage: Eukaryota; Viridiplantae; Streptophyta; Magnoliopsida; Ericales; Ebenaceae.